CUGCAAUGAUGUACAAAUUUUUCGUCAACAGUAUAUCACCCUCAGUGAAUGUUGACAGACUUCUCUGAGCAG
This is a small nucleolar RNA of Bombina bombina (fire-bellied toad), 72 nucleotides long. RefSeq annotates it as small nucleolar RNA SNORD56. The record is from RefSeq and is a predicted model, not a curated record. Lineage: Eukaryota; Metazoa; Chordata; Amphibia; Anura; Bombinatoridae. The transcript has a single exon.